CCGGGCGUCUGACCGGGCCAAUAAACCCGGGUCGUCCCUCAUCCUUUGCUUAAGCUCCUCCUGCACCCCCUGCCGAAAGGCGGGAUGCGUGCGGGAGCACCUUCCUCCCCAGCGCGGCCCUGACCGGCCCCUGGGGGUAUUACAAUAAAACCCUCUGUAUCAGUGACCUGUCAGAGCGGCGGCGGCCGUUAAAACCGCGAACCAAAUA
RNAcentral lists this unclassified non-coding RNA (208 nucleotides) under uncultured Ascomycota. RNAcentral's name for it is "sequence contains ITS1". The record is from RNAcentral. Lineage: Eukaryota; Fungi; Ascomycota.